Molecule: ribosomal RNA, 164 nt
Filed under: uncultured bacterium
Lineage: Bacteria
Description: partial 16S ribosomal RNA
Rfam family: Bacterial small subunit ribosomal RNA
Source: RNAcentral
UGGGGAAUAUUGGACAAUGGGCGAAAGCCUGAUCCAGCCAUGCCGCGUGUGUGAAGAAGGUCUUCGGAUUGUAAAGCACUUUAAGUUGGGAGGAAGGGCAGUAAGUUAAUACCUUGCUGUUUUGACGUUACCGACAGAAUAAGCACCGGCUAACUCUGUGUCAG